RNAcentral lists this long non-coding RNA (1655 nucleotides) under Coffea arabica (coffee). RNAcentral describes it as "long non-coding RNA (CARA_LNC005376)". The record is from RNAcentral. Lineage: Eukaryota; Viridiplantae; Streptophyta; Magnoliopsida; Gentianales; Rubiaceae.
AACAAUUGUCUUAACAAAAAAUGAGAAUGAGAUAAAUUAAGCAAAGAAAUAAUAGUAAAAUAAAAAUAAAUAGAUAAACAAAAAUCACCUAGAAUAGAUAAAAAGAAAGGCUACAAUUUUGGUGUCUACACCAGUUUCAACAAGUACUCAAGGGAAAGUUAAAAAUAGUUGUCUAGAGCAGGAUUGAUGGAGUACAAAUGCAAAAACUACAAAGAAAAAAGGCCACAACAAUAGAAGGUGUCCCAAAAAUACAGAUGCAGCAAAUGGCAAUGGAGGAGUAGCAGCUGUUACACAUAAUGUUGUUGGUAAUCAACAUGAGCAAGGAGCCACACGCCAGAGAGAUAAUGAGGCAGCAAGUCGUCCACAUGAGGCAGCAAAUGGUCCACCAAAUGAAGAGUUUUAUCUAUAAAAACAACAACAUGUUUACCUGCCUCAAUAUUCCACUAUUGGUCCAGACACACAUUCUUACUUCACACUUGAACUAAUGGUUGGAACAAGUGCCCACUUUACUAGUAUAAGUGAUGAGCUUCUGAUUGAUCUCAUCAAUCAGGUACCAUGUGAACCAACAAGGAGCCAGCCAUCUACUCAACCUGAAACAACAGAGACUUGUCCCUUUCCAGCUAACACUCUUUUUCUUGAUACUAAUUUGGUUUGUAGAUUUAUUGCAUGAUUAACUAAUAUUAGUUACUUGUUUCCUCUUGUUCUUAAUCAUGGUCAGGGUAAGAAAGUGAAGUGGAGUUGUGGAGUAUGUCGAAAACUAGGGCACACUCGAAAUAAUUGUGCCUCUACAUUGGCUGCUCUUUAUAGGAGGGCCCCUUAUGAACCACGUGGUUUGCCUCUAUGUUGUAUUCUUUUGCUUGGCCAUUAAACUUCACAUUUUUUUAUAGUAUCCAGUGGUUUUUACCUCAUUGGUCAUUUUCAUUUUUAUGUUCAGAGGCCUGAGAAUGCAAAAACUGCUACUACAAAGAAUGGUUCUACUACAAAGACCACUGCUGCUACAAAGAAGGAUUGAAUGGUUCUGCUACAAAGAAAGCUAUUACUGCAAAAUUAGACAUCUUAUGUCCUUUUGUGUAGUUCAUUUUUUUUUUUGGGAAACAACUAGUGCCUUUUUUACUAGGAUUGACCUCAAUAGAUUUUGAUCAACUUCUGACUUGUAUUUUAUGAAAGACAUGGACAAAUGGUUGAAUUGUGUUAUUAUGUGAGCUGUUUUGAUGGUUUUUUUUAGAGCAAUAAAAUUGAUCCAAAAUGUUAUUUAUACGGUCAUCCAUGUUAAUAUCCAUUGCUUCUUUAUUAUUGUUCAAGCUCAGAUUUCUAAAGAAUUCAUGAUCACUUUGGGCAACACAUGCAAGAUUUCAAACUCUGAUGUAAUUUGGAAAUUGUUAAACAAAGUACUUCAUUCCAAUGCUGCUGCAAAAGUACAUGUCGCGCCCCAUUUUUUAAAAGAAAAAUAAGAUUACGAGUUUGUAAAAUGGAUUUUGAUCGAUUUUUGAUUGAAAAUGAAUUUUUGAUUAAUUUUGAAUAAAAUGAAUUUUUGAUUUGUAGAGAAAAAUAAAGAAAAAGAACCUAAUAAUGGGACUUAAAGUGCGACGAUUUUGGUCCAAAAUAAUAGUUUAAAAAGGGUUUUUAAUAAAUAAUAGGAAUCGCUACUUGCUAUU